AAACAUGUAAAAAAAAAAAAAACUAAUUAUAAAAUUAAAAUAAAAACAUACACAUUGUAUAUACACAGUCACAUGUGCAUACAGCUCACGCUUAAAAUGAUAGAUGGGCCUGAUCUUCCUGCAGUAGGCUAUGAAUAUCUAAUAUUUACCUGGUUUGUUGUUUGGUCUGUCUUGGGCUCUCAUGCUCCACUCACCAUGCUUUCUGAGAACCACCCACAUAAAUUUCAUAUAUACUCAGAGUUGGAUUCGUGAAGCAAAACUUUUUGCGAGCGCAUGUUCCGCCUGCCAGGUCUGUUGACCUAAUGAGAGGUCUACAGCUGCAGCCUGGAGCCUUGCCACUACCCGACGGUCGUGUACGCCGCCUCAGGCCUUUGAAGACCCGGAGAAUGAGGACAACCAGUUGUUUAGGUGGGCCGGUAUGCACGAUUAAUUGAUGAAUUACAUUUUUAUUUUGUAAACAUUAUAUAUAUCAAUAGCCAUCACUUGAUACAAAAACAGGACAUUCAAAUUUACAGUGCGGAAAAAUCUCUCUCUCUCUAAAAUAUGCAGGCACACUGGUGGUUCUCAGAUUGUGUGAGACGAGAGAGCAAAUAUAAACUUUUUCAUCCAUCCUUUUCUCUGUACAUUUUAGAAGGUGUGGCUUGGUAAAGCGCUUUGGACAACAUGAGGUGUCGGUCAGCACUAUAAAAGUGCACUUCAUUUUAGCAUUUACUGUUCUGAUAAAAUUGGAUGUUUAAUUUUUGGGGGGCUACGGCAAAAGUACAAUUAGUAUUGAACUUGGUUUAAAGGUAAACAUUGAGCCGAUACAAGCUACAAAAGUCAAAAAUGAGUGACGGUGUAAGAUGGUAAAUUCUGUGUCAAAUUUUGAAUCAACCCUCCGUUAAAUAACUACUGAGUUUUUCAGAUGGUGAUAAUUUUAGGACUGACAUCAUUUUUACAUAAAGUCCUACUACAUAAGUGCCAAUGUUCUGCCCAAUCAACGAUCCCUUCAAGGGUUGGGUUCAACCGCAGGUGACAUUUUUUUUCUUUGACCUCAUACCUAUACAUUACAAUGCAUGGAAAAAAUAUGGACAAAAAAAAAGACGCAUAGAUGAAUUAAAAAAUACAUGAAGGGACACAUAAAUGCUAUGAUUACAAUUUUCUGUUGAACAGUGGGUCUUGGAAAAAUCAGUCAGAAAUGCUCUAAAGUUGUUGUGGCAGUGUUAAAGGAAUGUAGCCCCAGUAUGGAACCGUGCAUCCAUGUUGUCGGUCUGGAGGCAGUCUUUGAAUUUAAAUUUAUUUCAAAUGAGCACAGAUGAAUCUCUACAUUCA
Hippocampus zosterae (dwarf seahorse) is the source of this 1311-nucleotide long non-coding RNA. RefSeq lists it as uncharacterized. The record is from RefSeq and is a predicted model, not a curated record. The transcript has 2 exons. NCBI's taxonomy places the organism in Eukaryota, Metazoa, Chordata, Actinopteri, Syngnathiformes, Syngnathidae.